UCUCUGGCAGGCCAAGAUGCAACAUCCAGCAAUCAUCUUGUGAGGCAAGAGAGAACAAGGAAACCCAUCCUGCUGUCUGUAAUAUUCUGGGGGCCCAGAGAAAUGCUCUCCUACUUUUUCUGUGAAAUCACCUCUCAGAACCCACAUUAUUUUCUAUGCACACAUUCCAAACACAAAGGAGGCACAGAUUUCUUCUCCGCGCAAAUAGCCCAGAUUCUCUGAACACUACUUCUUUUUCAGAACACAUGCAUUCCACUCCACGUACCUCUGUGGGUUCGUUGUAAUACGAUGUCCAUUCGGAAAUAUCGUGCGAUUCCAUUUUGACGGAGCCCAGCAUUCCAAAAUUCCGGAGAGGAAAAAUAAUUGCUUGUACGUGCUUAAUUUAAAGGAGAGGGGGAAUCCUGGAAUCGAUUUCUUCGGGAAGCUUAACGCUUUUUUCUUCCUCUUCUUCCCCCCAAUGUGUUCUUUUUGAGAUUCAGCCUAAGCCCACAAACUGAAAUAACCAAAGGGAAGGAUUGAUGUUGGAAUGAACUGUCUGCCUUCCCCUUUUUGAAAGUGUGCAGUGGCCGUUUGGGAGCCAAAGACUUAAUAUGCCCAGAAGUCAGAGGAAUCAACAGGUUUCCAUGGUAUAGGAUGAAGGAGGACAAUCCAUCCAGUUUUGGGACCUGAAGUCUGGGAUGACUUGCAGGAGGGCUGUUUUUGUGAUGUGCAAGUUGUCUGCGUCCGUCUAAACCUGGACUGCUGGUUGUCCUGAGGUUGUCUCCCAGUAUGUGAAGGGCUGUCACCUGGACAGUCAUUUUCUCUGGAGAGAUUACAAAACUAUCACAAGAGAGAAAAAUGUGAAAAAGUAGCUUGGCCAUAAGAAACACCAAGUCCCUUAGGGACAGUUUGGGGGAAGACGCAGGAAGGGUGGGUUCUCCACCUUUGGCUCCUGGAAGAAAAGCAGGUUAUAAAUCUAACAAGUAAAUAAGCAGCUCAGGUGUCCCCAGGAAGGGGUCAAAAAAGUUAAGAUAGUGGCCACCACCUAGUGGUGAAUCCCCUGCCCCUUUAUAUGUGUGCUGUGGUGCGAUUUAAUGAAGUGAGCUGCAGCUCAUGAAAGCUUCUGCCUUUUAAUAGGA
Molecule: long non-coding RNA, 1118 nt
Organism: Candoia aspera
Lineage: Eukaryota; Metazoa; Chordata; Lepidosauria; Squamata; Candoiidae
Exons: 3
Source: RefSeq, a predicted model, not a curated record